Molecule: long non-coding RNA, 344 nt
Organism: Hylaeus volcanicus
Lineage: Eukaryota; Metazoa; Arthropoda; Insecta; Hymenoptera; Colletidae
Exons: 3
Source: RefSeq, a predicted model, not a curated record
UUAAUAAAAUUUAAUUUCUUUCCACGGUCUUUAAUCUCACAUAUUCUUACAAUAUAUGGUGUUAGAAUAUUUGUUACUGUAACUGCUACUGCUGUGAUAGCUAAACAUAGAAUAAGGUUUAAGACAAUAAGUUAACCUUCAUAAUCAAAAUCUGCAUUCUUCAUUUUGCCGGCUUAAUUAUAAUCGUACUGCUGUUAAAAAAAACCUAACCCAGACCUAAGCAAUCACGAUUGAUCAGAACAGAAAGAAACACCAAACAACUUGAGAUUUGUUGAGCUUAACCAGACAUUUUGUAACGAUUUAAGUGUGCACUUAUAUAAUUUACAGUGUUUAUUACUACCAUU